AGUUGCCGGGAUGAGCUGUGGAGCCCGCGGAGGACGGGCUGCGGUUGCAGGAGGCUGUAAGAACAGCUUGGGUGUCUUUUCUGGGAAGUCGAGCGCACGCUCCCUGCUUCUUCUUUCUCUCUGGUCUUUUGGAGUUCAGCUUAAAUCAGAUUCUGAAAACAGCAUCCUGCUGCAGAAGAGUCAGUGGCCUUAGAAACAGACUCCUACUAUAAAAAAAAUCCUACAGGAGCCAGAUGCCCCCGACCCUGACAAAGAUUGAUCAAGUGGCUGGCCGUAUCACCUUUCACUUCGCUUUGGCAAGGGGGGAAGCGCAGAAUGAUGGAAGGUUUUCAGGUGGAGUUGUGUUUAAGUUUGGUUUUUUUUAAGUGCUGCAGAUGGGAGUCAUUCUGCACAAGGCAGUGCCAGCACAGAGACAGAACGCGAGGACUGUGGCUGCAGAGGAGCAGUCAUUCCUGAAUGCACCGUCCUACAGAUUUAUGCUUUGUGAGAGGUCGGAUUAGAUCACCGCUGUGGAAAGGAAAUCUAUUAAAUGUAUCUCCUGGAGGUAUGGGAGGCUCUGUGACAAAUCUCUCGGGGCAGGGUGAAUAUUUGCCCAGAGUGCUGCUGGCCUUUGCAGAACCGCUGUGUAAGCCGCUCCUCAGGUCUCAGCUGGAGCUGAGGACCGUACCCGUUCGUCGCCGGGUCUGCCUGCUUCCGACCUGCCCGUUAUAACUUAAAAUGCUGACUCACUAGCAUGGUGUGCCAACCAAAUGUUGCUGCUGGAAUCAACCACUGGAAGAGCCUGAGGAGAUACAACCCCACCAUGGCAUAGGUUUUAAGUGGGCCUCUUUGGUGAUUCCAAGUUUCUCUUCUGAUGGUUUACUUGGUCCCUUAUUUCUUGUCAAAUUAGCCCCAAAGGUCUGUACAAAUUUAGGCAGAUGUCAAGUUGAACAGUUGUCGUGGUGAAAAUGCCAUGGAAACCUAGUUUAGAAAGUUCAGCAACAUUUUAUCAUCCUUGGAAAGACUUUCAACCUUUCAAGCUUUUCAACCUUUGCACACCUUUUAACCAUUUGAAAAGUUGUCCAACAAUUUACAAUGCACAAAGUUAUAAUCAGUUGUCAGAAAUAAGUAUCUGACAUGUAUUCUUCAGGGCUUAUUUUUGUGCUGAAGAAAAAAGGAUGGAAUAUUACAAACCUGUUUUAGCGUUGCUGAAUGGUAUCCCUGCUCAUACAUGGAUUUUCUUCCAGGCAAAACCAGCUUGAGGGUUCAUGCAAUACUAGAUGCAUCAUGAGGAUUCUGCAUCAUCAGAGUGUUUAUUCUGAAUAUUGCAUAGAUACACAGCUGGUUUGUUCCCCUGUUGAGGUACCCCUGUUUUACUUUCCUUGGCAGGCAACUUAAACAUUGAUGUAUUGCAGCUGAGCAGUGGUCAUGGGAUUCAAAAGUAACAUGGAAAUGCAGCCUUAAAACAAGGUCCCCUCCCUGGUGGCAGUGAGUUAUGGACAUGGAUUCAGGUGUAUUUUGAUGGUGUCUUCUAGACUUCUUGACUUGUUUUACAUCUUGUAUAAUUGGAAAGAAGCUUUUGUGUUUGUUUUAGGAGGAAAUAAAUUUAUUUCGGAUCUGAUUAUCA
This is a long non-coding RNA of Falco peregrinus (peregrine falcon), 1606 nucleotides long. RefSeq lists it as uncharacterized. Lineage: Eukaryota; Metazoa; Chordata; Aves; Falconiformes; Falconidae. The transcript is spliced from 2 exons. The record is from RefSeq and is a predicted model, not a curated record.